GAUCCUGGCUCAGGAUGAACGCUGGCGGCGUGCUUAACACAUGCAAGUCGAACGGGAAACCUUUUAUUGAAGCUUCGGCAGAUUUAAUUUGUUUCUAGUGGCGGACGGGUGAGUAACGCGUGGGUAACCUGCCCUAUACAGGGGGAUAACAACCAGAAAUGGUUGCUAAUACCGCAUAAGCGCACAGGACCGCAUGGUCCGGUGUGAAAAACUCCGGUGGUAUAGGAUGGACCCGCGUUGGAUUAGCCAGUUGGCAGGG
RNAcentral lists this ribosomal RNA (259 nucleotides) under uncultured bacterium. Its description in RNAcentral is "partial 16S ribosomal RNA". It matches the Rfam family "Bacterial small subunit ribosomal RNA", at positions 15 to 257 of the family's 1533-position model. The record is from RNAcentral.